GGGUGGUAAUGCCGGAUGUUCCAGUUGAUCGCAUGGUCUUCUGGGAAASCUUUCGCGGUAUGGGAUGGGGUCGCGUCCUAUCAGCUUGACGGCGGGGUAACGGCCCACCGUGGCUUCGACGGGUAGCCGGCCUGAGAGGGCGACCGGCCACAUUGGGACUGAGAUACGGCCCAGACUCCUACGGGAGGCAGCAGUGGGGAAUAUUGCACAAUGGGCGCAAGCCUGAUGCAGCGACGCCGCGUGAGGGAUGGAGGCCUUCGGGUUGUAAACCUCUUUUAUCGGGGAGCAAGCGUGAGUGAGUUUACCCGUUGAAUAAGCACCGGCUAACUACGUGCCAGCAGCCGCGGUAAUACGUAGGGUGCAAGCGUUAUCCGGAAUUAUUGGGCGUAAAGGGCUCGUAGGCGGUUCGUCGCGUCCGGUGUGAAAGUCCAUCGCUUAACGGUGGAUCCGCGCCGGGUACGGGCGGGCUUGAGUGCGGUAGGGGAGACUGGAAUUCCCGGUGUAACGGUGGAAUCACUAGUGAAU
Molecule: ribosomal RNA, 525 nt
Filed under: uncultured Bifidobacterium sp.
Lineage: Bacteria; Bacillati; Actinomycetota; Actinomycetes; Bifidobacteriales; Bifidobacteriaceae
Description: bacterial SSU rRNA
Rfam family: Bacterial small subunit ribosomal RNA
Source: RNAcentral